RNAcentral lists this ribosomal RNA (253 nucleotides) under uncultured bacterium. RNAcentral's name for it is "partial 16S ribosomal RNA". It matches the Rfam family "Bacterial small subunit ribosomal RNA", at positions 524 to 776 of the family's 1533-position model. The record is from RNAcentral.
UACGAGAGGCCCAAACGUUAUUCGGAAUUACUGGGCUUAAAGAGUUCGUAGGCGGCGCAGAAAGUAGGGUGUGAAAGCCCUCGGCUCAACCGAGGAAUUGCGCUCUAAACUACUGUGCUUGAGGGACCUAGAGGUGAGCGGAACUGAUGGUGGAGCGGUGAAAUGCGUUGAUAUCAUCAGGAACACCGGAGGCGAAGGCGGCUCACUGGGGGUUUUCUGACGCUGAGGAACGAAAGCCAGGGGAGCGAACGGG